GCCCGGUUAGCUCAAUCGGUCAGUCACUCACUCGAAAUACCUAAAACGGAAAGCUAACUCCAAAUAGGUAGAGCGUGAGACUCUUAUGUGAGACAAUCUCAAGGUUGCGGGUUCGACCCCCGCAUCGGGCU
Non-coding RNA from Durotheca rogersii, 131 nucleotides. Lineage: Eukaryota; Fungi; Ascomycota; Sordariomycetes; Xylariales; Xylariaceae. The record is from the annotation of a RefSeq genome assembly.